RNAcentral lists this ribosomal RNA (312 nucleotides) under uncultured bacterium. RNAcentral describes it as "bacterial SSU rRNA". It matches the Rfam family "Bacterial small subunit ribosomal RNA", at positions 28 to 342 of the family's 1533-position model. The record is from RNAcentral.
GACGAACGCUGGCGGCGCGCUUUACGCAUGCAAGUCGCACGGACCUUCGGGUUAGUGGCGGACGGCUGAGUAACGCGUAGGCAAUCUGCCCAGUGGUGGGGGAGUAACCUACGUCGAAGGACGGGCGUAAGACCGCAUGUGCUCACCGGGUCGGAAACUACCCGGUCGUGGAAAACAAGCAAUGUGCCACUGGAGGAGCCUGCGUCCUAUCAGGUAGUUGGUGGGGUAACGGCCUACCAAGCCGAUGACGGGUAGCUGGUCUGAGAGGUCGACCAGCCAGAAGGGGACGUGAGACACGGCCCCUACUCCUAC